Gadus macrocephalus (Pacific cod) is the source of this 1443-nucleotide long non-coding RNA. RefSeq lists it as uncharacterized. Lineage: Eukaryota; Metazoa; Chordata; Actinopteri; Gadiformes; Gadidae. The transcript has 2 exons. The record is from RefSeq and is a predicted model, not a curated record.
UGACCCAAUCCUUAAAGUCAGAUAGAGUCGUCAAAGCAAAUAUUUUUGGACUCAGCCAACAUGUAUUGAAAAUGUAACUGCGCACUAAAGGAGUUAGAAGGGGAGAGAGAGAUUAGGGGGAGGUAGCUAGUGAGGUGAGGUGUAGGCCUAUUGUGGACAGGUCGAUGCGCUAGAGACAGUGUUACACUAGUAAUGUGACAAUAUGUGGCGGCCGUUGGCUCAAGAGUGACUGGAAGUUUGUAUAACUAAUAGAUAAGCAGCGUGUGUGUGUCAGUGAAAAUAAAACAAAAUUGAAUGAGCCAGUGAACCAAUGGUUUUAAACGGAAUUCAAACAUUAUGUGAUUUUUUUUUUAUCGGCUUUUCAAAGACACCGGCUUAUUUUCAACUUUCAUGAUUCCGGUGCAAUAAUUUAUGAACUACUUCCAUGCCCUUGAAAACGGCUUCAAGGACCAGGUAGCACUCUCAUUGUAUCAAAUCUCAGGGGGAAGAGAGAGGAGGAUACGGUGACGAACACUAAACGCUUGUGCAACUCUAUGGCUGUGCUCCGUGGCAGGCCCAUAUGCAAAUGCAUUCACACACACACAAACAAAACCUGUGCUGGCCAUAAUUAUAGUGGUACUACUAGGCUAUCAUCUAUUAUUUAAUUCGCACAAGCGAAUGAAACACUCCCGUGUCACACGUUGAUGUAAAUGAACGUAGAAACCAAGAACAACCACAAGAAGUGUAUCAGUGCCCCCUAGUGGACAACACAAGACUUUAUAACAGACUGGGUUUUCUGUUUUCUCUCUAUGAAUGAAUAGAUCAUAACAGAAUCCAUGCCACAGACGUGCAUGCAGUCUGGUACCUGACCACGCAAGCAGUACCCGGGCUGCCCAGCGUCAUCAACCAUGACCACGGCUCCACCAGUGACUCAGACUCUGACAGCGGGAUAACUCACAGCCACAUGGGCUUCCUGGUGUCCAAGAUGUACACGGUGUCGGAGGACGGCUACGGCUGUCUGUCGGGCUUCCGUGCUGCUACCUAAUGAAUAUUUUGGAAAAUAAGUCACUAAGCGUGACUUUUUAAUACAUUCUGUGUGUUUGAAAAAAAAAAAAUCAAACCCUUUCUUGUUUUUUUGCAAGAAACAAAAAUAGUGAACAGGCAGCAUUUUGUAGGAUUAUAGAAUGAUUGAAUGAUAGAAUAAACAAAGAUUAGUUGGUUAUGAGAUGGUUUAAUAGACAAAUAUACCAUUGGGAAAACCAGUUAUAUAUUUUUAAACAACAAAAGCAAUCAAAGCAGAAAGAAAAUCAAACUGUAUAAUUAAAUAAAACGAGAUGAUCCAUGAUUUGAACAUUAACUUUGCAGUUUUCAGUAAGUCGUAACUCCUCCUUCGGUAUCUCCUUAUUGUACCGACAGCGAUACAUUAUUUCACUUUCUUAUGAAAAAAUUUACUUAUUGUGAGAC